This 497-nucleotide ribosomal RNA is filed under the name uncultured bacterium. RNAcentral describes it as "partial 16S ribosomal RNA". It matches the Rfam family "Bacterial small subunit ribosomal RNA", at positions 28 to 507 of the family's 1533-position model. The record is from RNAcentral.
GACGAACGCUGGCGGCGUGCCUAAUACAUGCAAGUUGAGCGCUGAAGGUUGGUACUUGUACCAACUGGAUGAGCAGCGAACGGGUGAGUAACGCGUGGGGAAUCUGCCUUUGAGCGGGGGACAACAUUUGGAAACGAAUGCUAAUACCGCAUAAAAACUUUAAACACAAGUUUUAAGUUUGUAAGAUGCAAUUGCAUCACUCAAAGAUGAUCCCGCGUUGUAUUAGCUAGUUGGUGAGGUAAAGGCUCACCAAGGCGAUGAUACAUAGCCGACCUGAGAGGGUGAUCGGCCACAUUGGGACUGAGACACGGCCCAAACUCCUACGGGAGGCAGCAGCAGGGAAUCUUCGGCAAUGGACGAAAGUCUGACCGAGCAACGCCGCGUGAGUGAAGAAGGGUUUCGGAUCGUAAAACUCUGUUGGUAGAGAAGAACGUUGGUGAGAGUGGAAAGCUCAUCAAGUGACGGUAACUACCCAGAAAGGGACGGCUAACUACGUG